UUUCCUUCAGUCUCCAUGUUCAAUAAGUAAUGAGACAAAGGUUUGUCUCUGAACGUCACCUGGGGAAACAGUGGAAAGAGUCCAUCGACCCUUACUGGCAGGCAGGAAACAGCAGAAAGGUGAACCUUGUUCCACAUCAACAGCUGAGAAAGUGAAACCAGGUCAGCUGUGGAAUCCACGGUAACUGCAGUGAAACCAACUAACUGCAGCUGCUGUGCUCAAGAAGAAGCAACAAGUUUCAGAUCCAGCGUCUAAAACUACAGGAGUGCGCUGAGGCCACCGACAUUCCUGUCACUGGCAUUUGACCCAUACUGGAGAAGAAGCUUCACUACCUACACAGCACACACAUAUCACCUCUUGUUAGCCUGUAGAUUUUGAUACUGUACAAAAAUAACAAUGAAAUCCAAACAUUACAAUGUCAAUGCUCCUGUGUUCACUGGAGGCACUCUUGUUCCAUCAGCAUCCAACAAAGCUGAUGAACGAUUUAUUCAGUUUAUUACAAAAUCCCCUAGUAUGCCUUUUCCACUAACAUGGAACGGGCUCCGGUCUGGUUCGCACACCAGUGUUUAGAACAUUUCAACCAAAAAUAAUCUGGUUCAGAACCUGAAAAGCUGGUUCUCAGCUGGAACCAAAAAAUAGCAGGUUUUCCUCUGGAAGGAAGUGAGGUCAACAAAGUAUGUAUAGUGAGGCCUGUUACAAUAAUUACAUUAUUGAAUGCUGACCUAGCUAAUACCCCUUGUGUUUACAUGCAUGUUUGUUUCAGUGCUAGAAUAACCAGCCUCAUGAAUGAACAGGAAAAUUACUAUUAUUAAACUAUUAUAACUCUUUGAAAGGGUGCAUUGGCAUUAUAGCAGUGGCAUAAAAUGGUCUUAAAAUGAUAAUAAUAUUGUUAAUCGCAGUUAUUUUUGGGACAAUAUAUUGUCCAACAAAGUAGUUAUCAUAACAGGCAAAUUAAACCUGUUUCUGAUCUGUAUAUGGCAAUUUAUAAACCACUGUCUCAUCACCAACAGCAGAAUAAUACAUUAUUAUUAUUUAGUACAUCAUAUAUAUUUCAAGUAAAAGGCCUUCUUUUUAAAAGGAAGGACAAACAAUUUUAAUAUUUACAAGAUCAAACUAAAAUCUAUUUAAAUAUAAGGUAGAGGAACACUGUAAUCCAGUGAGAAAAAGUGAAAGAAAGUGAAAGAAGAGCUGUAAGAGCUGUGCAGUAUACAUGGGAAUAAAUGACGGUAUAUAUAUUUGAAUACAUUUCUCACCUUUUCCCUGAUGGUCUGAAUAAAUCAUUAAAUUUGUUGUUAGUCUUCAUUUCAAACUCUGAAAACAUCACACUCUCUAUGGACAUGUAGAAAGUGUCUCUCCAUCACCUGAUAGUGUCCAGUGGUAACGGCAUC
Long non-coding RNA from Dicentrarchus labrax (European seabass), 1388 nucleotides. RefSeq lists it as uncharacterized. Lineage: Eukaryota; Metazoa; Chordata; Actinopteri; Moronidae. The transcript is spliced from 4 exons. The record is from RefSeq and is a predicted model, not a curated record.